This 915-nucleotide ribosomal RNA is filed under the name uncultured archaeon. Its description in RNAcentral is "bacterial SSU rRNA". It matches the Rfam family "Archaeal small subunit ribosomal RNA", at positions 1 to 922 of the family's 1478-position model. The record is from RNAcentral.
UUCCGGUUGAUCCCGCCGGAGGCUACCGCUAUUGGAGUUCGAUUAAGCCAUGCGAGUCGCGAGUCUUAGGGACUCGGCGUACCGCUCAGUAACACGUGGGUAACCUGCCCUAUGCUGGGGGAUAACCUCGGGAAACUGAGAAUAAUACCCCAUAGUUCACCACGCCUGGAACGGUGGGUGGAUCAAAGCUCCGGCGGCAUAGGAUGGGCCUGCGGCGUAUCAGGUUGUAGGGGGUGUAAUGUACCCUCUAGCCCUCUACGCGUACGGGUGUUGAGAGACAUCGCCCGGAGAUGGAUUCUGAGACACGAAUCCAGACCCCACGGGGUGCAGCAGGCGCGAAAACUUGGCAAUGCGAGAAAUCGUGACCAGGGAACUCCAAGUGCAUCGGGUAAGACCGAUGCUUUUCUUGACUCUUCAAAGGUCUUGGAAUAAGGGGUGGGUAAGGACGGUGCCAGCCGCCGCGGUAAUACCGGCGCCCCAAGUGGUAGUCGCUUUUAUUGGGCCUAAAACGUCCGUAGCCGGUCUGGUACAUUCGUGGGUAAAUCAACCAGCUCAACUGGUUGAAUUCUGCGAGCACGGCCAGACUUGGGACCGGGAGAGGUGUGGGGUACUCUCAGGGUAGGGGUAAAAUCCUGUCAUCCUGAGAGGACCACCUGUUGCGAAGGCGCCACACUAGAACGGAUCCGACGGUCAGGGACGAAGCCUAGGGGCACGAACCGGAUUAGAUACCCGGGUAGUCCUAGGUGUAAACGCUGUGGACUUGAUGUUGGGGGCGCUCCGAGCGCACUCAGUGUCGAAGCGAAGGUGAUAAGUCCACUGCCUGGGGAGUACGGUCGCAAGGCUGAAACUUAAAGGAAUUGGCGGGGGAGCACCGCAACCUGAGGAUUGUGCGGUUUAAUUGGAAUCAACGCCGGA